This 75-nucleotide small RNA is filed under the name Pseudomonas aeruginosa C2773C. RNAcentral's name for it is "isrK". It matches the Rfam family "isrK Hfq binding RNA". The record is from RNAcentral. Lineage: Bacteria; Pseudomonadati; Pseudomonadota; Gammaproteobacteria; Pseudomonadales; Pseudomonadaceae.
GCUGCCGCAAAUUCGGCAGACGGGAUUGGCGUCCCGGUAGCAUUGGCGGACACACCGCCUCAGAGCGGUUUUUUU